Molecule: non-coding RNA, 24 nt
Filed under: Arabidopsis thaliana (thale cress)
Lineage: Eukaryota; Viridiplantae; Streptophyta; Magnoliopsida; Brassicales; Brassicaceae
Source: RNAcentral
UAUGUGAUUGUGGUUGGAAUUCUC